GAUGAACGCUGGCGGCGUGCUUAACACAUGCAAGUCGAACGGAAAGGCUCCUGCUUGCAGGGGUACUCGAGUGGCGAACGGGUGAGUAACACGUGGGUGAUCUGCCCUGCACUUCGGGAUAAGCCUGGGAAACUGGGUCUAAUACCGGAUAGGACGAUGGUUUGGAUGCCAUUGUGGAAAGUUUUUCGGUGUGGGAUGAGCUCGCGGCCUAUCAGCUUGUUGGUGGGGUAAUGGCCUACCAAGGCGUCGACGGGUAGCCGGCCUGGGAGGGUGUACGGCCACAUUGGGACUGAGAUACGGACCAGACUCCUACGGGAGGCAGCAGUGGGGAAUAUUGCACAGUGGGCGCAAGCCUGAUGCAGCGACGCCGCGUGGGGGAUGACGGCCUUCGGGUUGUAAACUCCUUUCGCUAGGGACGAAGCGCAAGUGACGGUACCUGGAGAAGAAGCACCGGCUAACUACGUG
Molecule: ribosomal RNA, 465 nt
Filed under: uncultured bacterium
Lineage: Bacteria
Description: partial 16S ribosomal RNA
Rfam family: Bacterial small subunit ribosomal RNA
Source: RNAcentral